GAGCACUGGGCAACCGCAACGCGCCGCCGCACAGGCAAUAGACGAUGCCGUCGCUCUCCUGCCACAACCUGCUCGACCUGGCCGAGGAGGUGCCGCCGCUGCCCCCGUCCCCGCUCCGCCUGCCGCGGGUCAUGGCCGGCGCCUCCCCCUCCUCGCCGGCGUCCCCGUCCCAGCCCGGCCCGCCGCGGCGGGUCAUCGUCUCGCACCGCCUCCCCCUCCGCGCGUCCCCAGACCCCGCGGCCCCGUUCGGGUUCAGGUUCACCGUCGACGCGGGCACCGUCGCCUACCAGCUCCGCUCGGGCCUGCCCGCCUCCGCCCCCGUGCUGCACGUCGGCACGCUGCCCCCCGCGGCCGCCGACGCCGCCUCCGACGAGCUGGCCAGCUAUCUCAUGGCCAGCUUCUCCUGCCUGCCCGUCUUCCUCCCCGCCGACCUCCACCGCAGGUACUACCACGGCUUCUGCAAGCACUACAUGUGGCCGCUCCUCCACUACCUGCUCCCGCUCACGCCCUCCACGCUCGGGGGCCUGCCCUUCGACCGCGCGCUCUACCACUCCUUCCUCUCCGCCAACCGCGCCUUCGCCGACCGCCUCACCGAGGUGCUCGCCCCCGACGACGACUUCGUCUGGAUCCAGGACUACCACCUCCUCGCCCUCCCCACCUUCCUCCGCAAGCGCUUCCCGCGCGCCAGGGUCGGAUUCUUCCUCCACUCCCCCUU
This 715-nucleotide long non-coding RNA is filed under the name Hordeum vulgare. Its description in RNAcentral is "long non-coding RNA (HVUL_LNC016946)". Lineage: Eukaryota; Viridiplantae; Streptophyta; Magnoliopsida; Poales; Poaceae. The record is from RNAcentral.